GGACCCGCACAAGCGGUGGAGCAUGUGGUUUAAUUCGAUGCAACGCGAAGAACCUUACCAGGGUUUGACAUCCUGCGAAUCUCUUGGAAACAGGAGAGUGCCUUCGGGAACGCAGUGACAGGUGGUGCAUGGCUGUCGUCAGCUCGUGUCGUGAGAUGUUGGGUUAAGUCCCGCAACGAGCGCAACCCACGUCUUUAGUUGCCAGCAUUUAGUUGGGGACUCUAGCGAGACUGCCAGUGAUAAACUGGAGGAAGGUGGGGAUGACGUCAAAUCAUCAUGCCCCUUAUGACCUGGGCUACACACGUACUACAAUGCUACGGACAAAGGGCAGCAAGUUCGCGAGGACAAGCAAAUCCCAUAAACCGUGGCUCAGUUCAGAUCGUAGGCUGCAACUCGCCUACGUGAAGGCGGAAUCGCUAGUAAUCGC
RNAcentral lists this ribosomal RNA (427 nucleotides) under uncultured bacterium. RNAcentral's name for it is "bacterial SSU rRNA". It matches the Rfam family "Bacterial small subunit ribosomal RNA", at positions 917 to 1345 of the family's 1533-position model. The record is from RNAcentral.